This is a non-coding RNA of Podarcis lilfordi (Lilford's wall lizard), 69 nucleotides long. The record is from the annotation of a GenBank genome assembly. NCBI's taxonomy places the organism in Eukaryota, Metazoa, Chordata, Lepidosauria, Squamata, Lacertidae.
GAUAGCUCAGUUGGUUAGAGUGUGGUGCUGAUAAUGACAAGGUUGCAGGUUCGAUCGCCACAAGGGACA